CAUACAUUAUACAGAUUAUAAAUGAGUCUAACAUGCUAUGGAGGGAAAAAACUCAUGUAGGCCUAGUUCAUACUAACAAAACUGCAGUCUGAAAACAAGUGGUUAAAGGGAUAUCCCUUGCCUCAAAUGUUUUCACUAUUUUUUCUCUAAAAUUAUGAGAGUAGUUGCCUAAGUUCUCCAGUUCUCUAUGUAUGUGUAGCUAUAGAUGAAAACUUGUUUGCUCUGGAAAUAAAAUGCUUUCUAAAGCAUUUGCUAAUGCUUUCUAAAUGAAGGUCAAGAAAAGAAAGAAAAAUAGUAUGUUUUGUUGGAGGAAAGUUUCAAGUUUAAUUAAAUUAUAGAACAUCAUGAUUCAAAGGAACUUCAGGGAUUGUCUGAUAGAAGUCUUCAUUGAAUUAUCAAAUCCUGGCCCAAGUGGACAUCAGCUGCUACUUGGAUCUUCUAAUGACAAGAAGUGCAAGAGAGAGUAUCUCAUUUGUUUCCUGAAAGUUCUGAUUGUUUAAACUUCUAAGUACAAUCUGCCUCCUGAACAUUCCAUUGUAGUUCUUUGAUCUGGAGCCGCACAAAAGCCUCCUCUUUUACAUGUCAGCUUUACACACCACCCUCAGCCUGGAGGAUAAUUAAAGUUGCUUGGAAUUUGCCACUCAAGGAAUCGUAUCCUACCUGAAUGAUAAUAUCCCACUAGGAGAAAAUCAGGGCAAGCUCAUGGUCAGUGCCAAUAAACCUUUCAGAAGUUAUGGACCAAAUGUCCAAAUUCCUAUGUUGAAGCCCUAAUCCUGAAUGUGAAGGUAGUUGGAAGUAAUUAGGUUUAGAUGAGGUCACAAGGAUGGGGCCCCCAUGAUGGGAUUAAUGUCCUUUGAAGAAGAGGAAGGCACCAGAGUUCUCUCUCUCUUUCUGCCAUGCCAGGUCACAACUAGAUGUGGCAGUCUGCACGCCAGGAGGUGGGCCCCUACCAAGAAUUCAGCCAUACUGAUACCCUCAUCAUGUGCUACCCAGCCUCCAUAACUGUUGAUCUGCCAUUUAUGCAAUCCAUUGAUCUACAGACAAGAAUUAAUUUCGAACUCAACAACUUCUGUCAAAAGUGCUACAGUAGUAACAAUGGUGGAAGCUAAGCACAUGAUUAUACUACUGUCUUCCAAGCUAAGUGCUGAGUCCAAGGCCAAGAGCACUGAUAUUUGAGACAAAAGUGCUUACAUUGUGAAUAAUGACUUAUUGACUGAUAUUAAGUUUCCCCAUACUGCUGCUGCCCUGUUUUUG
Molecule: long non-coding RNA, 1254 nt
Organism: Pan troglodytes (chimpanzee)
Lineage: Eukaryota; Metazoa; Chordata; Mammalia; Primates; Hominidae
Exons: 3
Source: RefSeq, a predicted model, not a curated record